RNAcentral lists this ribosomal RNA (253 nucleotides) under uncultured bacterium. RNAcentral describes it as "partial 16S ribosomal RNA". It matches the Rfam family "Bacterial small subunit ribosomal RNA", at positions 524 to 776 of the family's 1533-position model. The record is from RNAcentral.
UACGAAGGGGGCUAGCGUUGCUCGGAAUCACUGGGCGUAAAGGGUGCGUAGGCGGAUUGUUAAGUCGGGGGUGAAAUCCCAGGGCUCAACCCUGGAACUGCCUUCGAUACUGGCAAUCUCGAGUCCGGAAGAGGUGAGUGGAACUCCUAGUGUAGAGGUGGAAUUCGUAGAUAUUAGGAAGAACACCAGUGGCGAAGGCGGCUCACUGGUCCGGUACUGACGCUGAUGUGCGAAAGCGUGGGGAGCAAACAGG